Molecule: long non-coding RNA, 340 nt
Organism: Thunnus maccoyii (southern bluefin tuna)
Lineage: Eukaryota; Metazoa; Chordata; Actinopteri; Scombriformes; Scombridae
Exons: 3
Source: RefSeq, a predicted model, not a curated record
CCGAUUACCAACUCAGGGAAGGGGGAAGGGAAAGGGACAUCAGAACACACAAAUCCUGCGAUUUUUGUCUGACAGACAGAUGUAUGAAUGAGAAUGGUUUAAAGAGUGAGGGUGAAACCACUGAGGGUGAAAAAUCAGGCCGGUCCUGGAUGCGCACCUGCAGAUUCUGGUCCAACCACAAACAUCCCUGAUCUGAGAAAGGAAGAAGAGAAAACAGAGAAAGGAGAACAGGAAAAAGGAGCAUAAAAGAGUUUUAAACCUGAAGAAGAGUCUUGACCCUCCGCCUGCAGCCACAGUAUUGAUGUCCAGUUGAGGUGCCUGCAGGGUAACCCCGGCUGUG